UGUGCUGAAAAAACUCUGCUUUCAUUUCUUCUUAAGCAAUUCAAAGUUCUUCAUACCCCACUCCGGGCAACUGCAACUCAGUUUUAUAUAGUGCUCUCCAAGAAAAACAUUGGUUUGGUAAAUAAUGUGGUUAGAAUUUUUAUCCUAUCCUGCUUGAUUGCCAAAAUCAAAGUCAACCAAAGGUGGCAUUUCACGGCAGAACUGUAGGUUGAUGACUGCUGUUGGGCAAAGAACCUUACCUGCUGUACGGCAAAUCAUUCUCUCCCAUCUCAAAUAUUGCUAGUGGCCAAUAAUUUGAUCUAUAACUCUUCUUUAGUUUUUGUUCAAUUUUUUUUUAAUCUUAUCUACCUACUUAAGCUGUGAGGUUUUCUGGGUAGCAAACUUCUGCAAGAGUUCUGUGAGCACAAAGACAGCAAGGGCUGGGCUUCUGGGGGCGCUUGGGUGCCGCUGCAUUCGAAACAGGCCCCGACGUGGUGAAAGCCGUACUACUCAGGGAGUAUCUAACUUCUCCAAACUGCUCAUGACAAAAGAAAAUAUAAACUGCAAUUUUAGAAAUCACUCAUAUACAGAACUACAGGUUUAAUUUGUAUGCAUCGUCAACCUUCAGACUUUCAACUUGUCCAAAACGCAGACAGCUUUGUUUUGCAUCACGACUCUCUGUGGAGAUGCGCAGUGAAAAAACAAGAUGCAUCGGGCACAAACUGCAGCAAGAGAAAUUCCCAUUAAAUGAGGAAAAGUUUUUGACCACGAGUGCAGACAAACACUGGAAGAGGUUACCCAGACUGCGCAGUCUCCAUCCUCAGAGAUGCCCCAAACUCAAAGGGCAAGUCCCUGAGCAACCUGGUCUAAGUUAGCCCUGCUUUGACGAUGCAGCAUUUGGGUUACCCCCAGAAGUUUCUUCCAGCCCGUAUGACUCUACAAAUAAAUUAUUGCAGUUAUACAUACAGUAUGUAAUCAAUUUUUCAGACCACGUUGAACAUUUUCAUAGUUUCACCACAGACAAAGUGAUUAAAGUUCCAGUUCUGUCCUUCAAUGUUAAGUGUAUCGACGCACUUCUAAAAACUAUUUCCAAACUCACGUCAACACGUUAUGAUAUCUUAGCUAUGUACAGAGAAAUCUUGAUCUUUGGGGAACUGCCGUAUUCAGAAUUACAUGGCAGUCUGUGAAGCACCCCCAACUUCUUCAUUCCUAUUAAAGAAUUGUCUCAAACUUAUAGAUUACUGUGUGACUAUACCCAGGAAAGACUUUUAAAAUCCUGCAUCUACUCCAAAACAUUCUGCUCCUAAUAUUAAUGUCCUUUUGAAACGAACGAUUCAGAGCACAUACUGAUUUAAUACACGUAAGAACUAAUAAUUCUUUUAUUUUUAAAAGUACCAGUGAUGCUUCUGAGGUGGUUUUGGAAAAAAGGUGCAUUUUUGCAUGAAGGAAACACCUGAAGCAGAACCUCCCUCACUGGUGGGUUUGUUUUUGCAAAGUGAGCUCUGCUGCCAACGUAUUAACUUUUGAGGACUAAGCCACACACACGACGACGCAUUUUACAGGCAAAGACUUCUCACCUCAAAGCACUGAGUAAACAAAGUUUUCCUUAACCGAUGCGACAAAACUACACUGCAGAGUUUUGCUGGUGUAGUUAGCUCGGUAGGUUUUCACAGCUAGUUUAAGAAACUGCAAAGUUACCCAACGCACCAGGAAGCAUGAGGCAGCCAAGCCAGCUCAUUUUUCACAAACGGGACCCUUCCGUGUCAGAAGAGAGGUUUUGUUCUGCUCACAGUGAGCUGGCUUUCGUUAAAACUCCACCUUACUCCGUAAGCCUUCCUAACCAAGCAGAAACACAGAGACAUAGGCGUGUUGAAAGAGGUGUGGCUCCCUUCUGGUAUCACGUUUGACAACGCACAUAGUUAUGCUUAGCAUUUUAAGGAACAUGAGCAAUUUUUGCACUAAAACCCUGAUGUGCGAAAAUUUCCUACCAAUACUCUCCUUUCCUCACUGCAGACACCCCUGUUUUCUGACCAUCUCCGCACCAACACAGCUAUUUAACUCCUGUGCUUUGUAGGGAACAGGAUUCACAUUGCAAAAGGAAAAAAAGAUAAAGCACCUACAGUAAACACGUCCUGGCGAGUCACCGAGAGGCACUGACUAUAGAGUACUAGAUUUCAUUACGAUUUUAACAGUCUUGUUUUUCAUGUGCUGCUAUUUGUUAAUGAGUAUUUACAUUAGUAAAUGCAUCUUUUACAGGAAAAGCAGUAUCUUCCAUUAAUCAUUGCUUACAUUCAUGGAGAUAAAUUGUAGCUUUUAUACGCACACUAAUACAGUCAUGAAGAAACAUUUGUAUAUAUGCUUAUUAGUUUGACAUCGCCACAGGCAGAAAAGCAAUUUGUACAGAAAUUGGAACACAAUUAAACUGCAAAGAAUGGUUAUUAAACUUUUAGCCAAACUCGUUCAAAUAUGCUGAAUAAAUAAAUAGGUUUUGCAUUCAAGACUUAUUAAGAGAGGAUGCAGUAUGGAUAGGAAGGGAAGGGAAGUGAUGAUUUCCAAUUGCUACCUCACUUAAGAGUUCAGGAUUUCCACCUCUCACAUCUAAUUAUUUAUAGACUGAAACACAAAAAACUUUUUUUUCCACUUGUCUGAAAGCUUCCUAACUUUCAGCAACCAAAGCGAACAGGACGGCCAUAAAACCCCGUGUCUCACCACAGCUCUCUUUAGGGCUGGAAAAUCCCAGGAGCGGUAACCUUCGCUGGCAAGAGCCCAGCUUCGCACCUUGGGCUUUGCACAGUCUUACACACCGCAUCGACUACAGCUAGCUCUCAGAUGUAUUUAUUUUUUAGCGCUUUUUACAAAUCACCCACACGGUAUCAUCACUUUGAAAGAUAUGCAAGGUUUCAAAAUCUUGUGCUAAAAUGAGAACCUAAGGAACAGAGCUGUGAUCGAAACCAGUUGCACAAUCUCGCACGCUGAAAUAACAUUCUUUCUGGAAAGUGGCUCUUCUCUUUCCCUGCUUUUAGAGCUCCUUUACCUGAACCACGCACUACUGCCAGCUUAUUCCACUAUCCCAAUUCGUGCCCUUUCUGUAUUCUCCCUUACACCAAGCACAGCAAGUUUUAAACCUGAGUUAUGUUACAGCCGUGUUGAACUGGCUGCUAGGUGACACCAGCAAGUUGGUGCUGCUGCCACAGGAAUUACUUACUGCCUUCGCAGCACUGGAAUUCCUGACUACGCACAAAGCAGGACAGGAACUGAGUUUCCGAACCCGUGGUAUCACCAGAUCACUUAUCACUUAUUUUGCUUUUAUAGCACUAUUAGGAGACCAGCACAGAAGAGUCUAUAUUUGUUCACCUUCUUCCCUCCUCGAAUUUCAGUAGUUCUGACCAGUGUUGUAGCUAUGUAUCUGUCAAAGUUACCUACAACCCGAUUGCACCACCACCAUCUAUACCAGCCUUUGAAGCUCUCCAUUUCUUAUCACGGAGAAAGAUAUAUGGAGAGGCAAUAUGAUUUAUUCCCUGUGAACAUUAAUGUUUGUCUACCUGUCCUCCUGUAUUUGUAAUCACAGUCCCAGCUGGAUGGCUGAGAAGGGUGUGUUUUCCAAACGCUAUCCAGCACGAGGAUCUCUUUAGCUCAGUGCUGCUCAACGUCUGAGAUAAAAUUUAACUAAUUUCAUAAAUGUUAACUUCAAAAAUUGUUUUAUUAUUCAUAUCAAGUGACAAUUGAGAGACCAGAAAUUAACCAAACUGAAGAAAUUCAAUUCAAGAUCUCCAUAUGCAUUAAGAAUUUGCACUUUCAAAUUUCAUUCCUUAUAGAGUAUUCAUUUAGUGACUCAAUCGAGGGCAAAUCUGUCCACUUAAAAUCACAGUAAUUUAACCAAAAAAUGCUUUAGUCUAAACCGAGGAAGUCUUCUACUUAAUCCACUUAGAGUGCACAGUCUUAGUUUAAUACCAUCAGAAAACGAUUAUAGCUUUUAAGCAGUAAACAUUUUUAUUGUAAAAUGAUAGCAUAACUGAAAUGUAUCUAUGCUUUCAAGCACAUUGUUAAAAGGCUAUCCGACAUAACUUAAAUGAUGUAAUAAAACCCUUAAACAAGCCCAUGCCAUUUUGGGGACCCCAGUCUUUCCAAGCACUGGGUGGGAGCUGCCCAAUACAGAGAAUGCUCGUUUCAGAAUGGAUAAAUACAUCACACCUUGAUAUACCACCUGAGAGGUUCACGUUCAAGAAAGCUAAUCCGUGUACCUCUUUUGUGGAAAAGUAAAAUCUUGAGGUAUCAUAAGGUCUCCAGGGAUACUUGCUUGCUUUUCCAUGAGCUUGCAGCAUUAGCCAUCUUUGUUUCAUUAGCCAAUAAAAUCUCUUGCCAGGCUUGGAAAAUUCCAAUCAUGUAGGACAAUCAAUUUUAUAUGAGACUGAAGUGGAUAAAAGAAUCAAUUUAAAUUUACUAUGGCAAAGCACUGAUUCUGUUUGUUUAUACCAAGGCAAGAGGAAUCUCUAGAAGGUCUGCACCCAUUCUGAGAGGAAAGAAAAACUGCAAUUAACAGACAGAAGAAAGUUCAGGACUUAACUCCAUCAGUCAUGCAGGUACACUAUUAAGCACAGGCAGUGCUUCUCAGCUCACGGAGAGGCAAGAUGAAAGCGUCACCGUAAUUUACAUUAUUUGUCAGGACAAGAGGCAAUGGGCACAAACCAGAACACAGGAGGUUCCCUCUGAACAUCAGGAAACAUUUUUAUUUUUUUUUUAUUAGCUGUGCAGGUGACUGAGCACUGGCACAGGGUACCCAGAGAGGUCAUGGAGUCCUCCUUGGUGAUCUCCAAAAGCCACCUGGACGUGGCCCUGGGCAACCUGCUCUGGGUGGCCCUGCAUGAGUCAUUCUGUGAUGCCAAAAUAACUUGUAGUUGGAGUGUUUUUAAGCAUAUUCCCUAACAGCAACAUACGGGAUUAGAGUUACUUGCAUGUUCUAGAAAGGAUACAAAGAACCAUGGACCAUCAUGUAUGUGAAUGUGAACCAUGUAGAGGACUAAAGCCUCUGGCUGGAAAGAAAUGGAGGGACCUCAUGUUAUGCAUUUUGGCCUAUCAGCGGCUCUCUAGUUCUGAAACGUGGCCCUGUUAAUCCCAAACAUGCAAAAAAUCUGCCUUUUCAUAACCACUUAAGACAUUUUGGACAUUCCUCUAAGUUCAGAGAAGCUUGAAACAUCAUUUUUUGGUGUCCACAACCUUUCAGUCAUCUCAGAGCUUCUGCUGCCAGGAAAGCACACAUUUUUUGAUCAGAAAUGAAUAAAACUGUGUGUUAUACGAAGACAGGGGCAGCGCACGCAAGCCACCACAGCUGUGAAGCAGGCAGCUGCCACGAAGCUGCCUCCAGGAGAGGAAGCCAAGGAGCGCCGAUAACUGAGGUCUCCAAGACACCCUGCUCCCUGAGAGGCUUGCCGUAAAAAUCACUUUCGACCCUCCGUUUUCCUGCUCAGCAACUGAUGGGGAGAAACUCCAGGGAGAAUGGAAGUGGCUCCAUGAACGAGCUGAAGAAGAGAGAGCACAGCUGGAGCACAAUGAACUCAAUUCAGCGAGGAUGGAGUGCAGAAGGGAGUGAAGGAAAAGCAACAGGGAAAUUCCUGAGGUUGGAACGGGAAGGCUGGGAAGAGAAGAGAGGACCAGCAGAAAGCAGCAAUGGUGCUAGGACAAAGCAAAUAAAGGUGAGGAAAGCAACGGAGCUG
Cygnus olor (mute swan) is the source of this 5690-nucleotide long non-coding RNA. RefSeq lists it as uncharacterized. Lineage: Eukaryota; Metazoa; Chordata; Aves; Anseriformes; Anatidae. The record is from RefSeq and is a predicted model, not a curated record. The transcript has 3 exons.